This 496-nucleotide ribosomal RNA is filed under the name uncultured bacterium. RNAcentral describes it as "partial 16S ribosomal RNA". It matches the Rfam family "Bacterial small subunit ribosomal RNA", at positions 28 to 506 of the family's 1533-position model. The record is from RNAcentral.
GAUGAACGCUGGCGGCGUGCCUAAUACAUGCAAGUCGAGCGAACAGACGAGGAGCUUGCUCCUCUGACGUUAGCGGCGGACGGGUGAGUAACACGUGGAUAACCUACCUAUAAGACUGGGAUAACUUCGGGAAACCGGAGCUAAUACCGGAUAAUAUAUUGAACCGCAUGGUUCAAUAGUGAAAGACGGUUUUGCUGUCACUUAUAGAUGGAUCCGCGCUGCAUUAGCUAGUUGGUAAGGUAACGGCUUACCAAGGCAACGAUGCGUAGCCGACCUGAGAGGGGGAUCGGCCACACUGGAACUGAGACACGGUCCAGACUCCUACGGGAGGCAGCAGUAGGGAAUCUUCCGCAAUGGGCGAAAGCUUGACGGAGCAACGCCGCGUGAGUGAUGAAGGUCUUCGGAUCGUAAAACUCUGUUAUUAGGGAAGAACAAAUGUGUAAGUAACUAUGCACGUCUUGACGGUACCUAAGCAGAAAGCCACGGCUAACUACGU